UACGGGGGGAGCAAGCGUUGUUCGGAUUUACUGGGCGUAAAGGGCGCGUAGGCGGCCACCGCAAGUCGACUGUGAAAUCUCCGGGCUUAACCCGGAAAGGUCAGCCGAUACUGCGGGGCUAGAGUGCAGAAGGGGCAACUGGAAUUCUCGGUGUAGCGGUGAAAUGCGUAGAUAUCGAGAGGAACACCUGCGGCGAAGGCGGGUCUCUGGGCAUCUCCUGACGCUGAGGCGCGAAAGCGUGGGGAGCAAACGGG
This 254-nucleotide ribosomal RNA is filed under the name uncultured bacterium. RNAcentral describes it as "partial 16S ribosomal RNA". It matches the Rfam family "Bacterial small subunit ribosomal RNA", at positions 524 to 776 of the family's 1533-position model. The record is from RNAcentral.